CAUGGCCGUCGUCAGCUCGUGUCGUGAGAUGUUGGGUUAAGUCCCGUAACGAGCGCAACCCCUAUCCCUGGUUGCUAGCAGGUAAUGCUGAGAACUCCAGGGAGACUGCCGGUGGCAAACCGGAGGAAGGUGGGGAUGACGUCAGGUCAUCAUGGCCCUUACGUGUUGGGCUACACACGUGCUACAAUGGCAUUUACAAUAGGAAGCAAGAUGGCGACGUCAAGCAAAUCCUAAAAAGAUAUCUCAGUUCGGAUUGCACUCUGCAACUCGAGUGCAUGAAGUUGGAAUUGCUAGUAAUCGCAGGAUCAGCAUGCCGCGGGAAUACGUUCCCGGGUCUGUACACACGCCAU
This 350-nucleotide ribosomal RNA is filed under the name uncultured bacterium. RNAcentral's name for it is "bacterial SSU rRNA". It matches the Rfam family "Bacterial small subunit ribosomal RNA", at positions 1044 to 1395 of the family's 1533-position model. The record is from RNAcentral.